AGCGCAGUCCGGUAGCGCACCUGGUUUGGGACCAGGUGGUCGCAGGUUCGAAUCCUGUC
RNAcentral lists this transfer RNA (59 nucleotides) under Muribaculaceae bacterium. RNAcentral's name for it is "tRNA-Pro". It matches the Rfam family "tRNA", at positions 9 to 63 of the family's 71-position model. Rfam says of the family: Transfer RNA (tRNA) molecules are approximately 80 nucleotides in length. Their secondary structure includes four short double-helical elements and three loops (D, anti-codon, and T loops). The record is from RNAcentral. Lineage: Bacteria; Pseudomonadati; Bacteroidota; Bacteroidia; Bacteroidales; Muribaculaceae.